GAUGAACGCUGGCGGCGUGCCUAAUACAUGCAAGUCGAGCGAACAGACGAGGAGCUUGCUCCUCUGACGUUAGCGGCGGACGGGUGAGUAACACGUGGAUAACCUACCUAUAAGACUGGGAUAACUUCGGGAAACCGGAGCUAAUACCGGAUAAUAUAUUGAACCGCAUGGUUCAAUAGUGAAAGACGGUUUUGCUGUCACUUAUAGAUGGAUCCGCGCCGCAUUAGCUAGUUGGUAAGGUAACGGCUUACUAAGGCAACGAUGCGUAACCGACCUGAGAGGGUGAUCGGCCACACUGGAACUGAGACACGGUCCAGACUCCUACGGGAGGCAGCAGUAGGGAAUCUUCCGCAAUGGGCGAAAGCUUGACGGAGCAACGCCGCGUGAGUGAUGAAGGUCUUCGGAUCGUAAAACCCUGUUAUUAGGGAAGAACAAAUGUGUAAGUAACUAUGCACGUAUUGACGGUACCUAAUCAGAAAGCCACGGCUAACUACGUG
RNAcentral lists this ribosomal RNA (497 nucleotides) under uncultured bacterium. RNAcentral describes it as "partial 16S ribosomal RNA". It matches the Rfam family "Bacterial small subunit ribosomal RNA", at positions 28 to 507 of the family's 1533-position model. The record is from RNAcentral.